RNAcentral lists this transfer RNA (66 nucleotides) under Dipodomys ordii (Ord's kangaroo rat). It matches the Rfam family "tRNA". Rfam says of the family: Transfer RNA (tRNA) molecules are approximately 80 nucleotides in length. Their secondary structure includes four short double-helical elements and three loops (D, anti-codon, and T loops). The record is from Rfam by way of RNAcentral. Lineage: Eukaryota; Metazoa; Chordata; Mammalia; Rodentia; Heteromyidae.
GGUGGCUCAGUGGUAGAGUGCUUGCCUCGAAUGCAAUGAGACCCUAGGUUCAAUUCCUCAGCACCA